This 496-nucleotide ribosomal RNA is filed under the name uncultured bacterium. RNAcentral's name for it is "partial 16S ribosomal RNA". It matches the Rfam family "Bacterial small subunit ribosomal RNA", at positions 28 to 507 of the family's 1533-position model. The record is from RNAcentral.
GAUGAACGCUGGCGGCGUGCCUAAUACAUGCAAGUCGAGCGAACAGACGAGGAGCUUGCUCCUCUGACGUUAGCGGCGGACGGGUGAGUAACACGUGGAUAACCUACCUAUAAGACUGGGAUAACUUCGGGAAACCGGAGCUAAUACCGGAUAAUAUAUUGAACCGCAUGGUUCAAUAGUGAAAGACGGUUUUGCUGUCACUUAUAGAUGGAUCCGCGCCGCAUUAGCUAGUUGGUAAGGUAACGGCUUACCAAGGCAACGAUGCGUAGCCGACCUGAGAGGGUGAUCGGCCACACUGGAACUGAGACACGGUCCAGACUCCUACGGGAGGCAGCAGUAGGGAAGCUUCCGCAAUGGGCGAAAGCCUGACGGAGCAACGCAGCGUGAGUGAUGAAGGUCUUCGGAUCGUAAAACUCUGUUAUUAGGGAAGAACAAAUGUGUAAGUAACUAUGCACGUCUUGACGGUACCGAUCAGAAAGCCACGGCUAACUACGUG